GAUGAACGCUGGCGGUAUGCUUAACACAUGCAAGUCGAACGGUCACUUCGGUGAUAGUGGCGGACGGGUGAGUAACGCGUGAGAAUCUGUCUUCAGGUCGGGGACAACAGUUAGAAAUGACUGCUAAUACCGGAUGUGCCUUUGGGUGAAAGAUUUAUUGCCUGAAAAAGAGCUCGCGUCAGAUUAGCUAGUAGGUGGUGUAAGAGACUACCUAGGCUCCGAUCUGUAGCUGGUCUGAGAGGACGAUCAGCCACACUGGAACUGAGACACGGUCCAGACUCCUACGGGAGGCAGCAGUGGGGAAUUUUCCGCAAUGGGCGAAAGCCUGACGGAGCAAUGCCGCGUGAGGGACGAAGGCUUUUGGGUCGUAAACCUCUUUUCUCAAGGAAGAUGAUGACGGUACUUGAGGAAUAAGCAUCGGCUAACUCUGUG
RNAcentral lists this ribosomal RNA (432 nucleotides) under uncultured bacterium. RNAcentral describes it as "partial 16S ribosomal RNA". It matches the Rfam family "Bacterial small subunit ribosomal RNA", at positions 28 to 507 of the family's 1533-position model. The record is from RNAcentral.